Molecule: long non-coding RNA, 403 nt
Filed under: Neogale vison (American mink)
Lineage: Eukaryota; Metazoa; Chordata; Mammalia; Carnivora; Mustelidae
Description: Neovison vison (American mink) lncRNA (ENSNVIG00000019113.1)
Source: RNAcentral
GAGUUAAAGACCCUUUAUUUUUACUGUUGCUGCUGUUACUACUACUACCAUGAGCAGUAGUACCGCUGGAAAAUACUCAGUAAAUCAUUACUGUGUAUAAACUAUUGUGCCAAAUAUCUUUUCCUGAAUAAUUUCAUGUAAUCCUUUCAGCCACGAAAAAGUUCGUUUUAAGAAUAAUCCAAGAAAAACAAAACAAAACAAAGCCAGGAUAAUUCAAGAAUGUGACAGAUACAGAAGUUCAGAUCCUAAUUCAUGACAUCACUGAAUUCUUCUUGACAUUAUUCAACUCUUAGCAAAUUACAAGUGGGUUGAAAGGUCAUUUUCUCCACAUGAAUGCGAAGUUCCACGUGAAACAGAAACUGAGCUUAUAUCUAUGUCGGUAAGUGUGGUGUGUUUAAGAAGA